This 297-nucleotide long non-coding RNA is filed under the name Bos taurus (domestic cattle). RNAcentral describes it as "long non-coding RNA NONBTAT026760". Lineage: Eukaryota; Metazoa; Chordata; Mammalia; Artiodactyla; Bovidae. The record is from RNAcentral.
GACAGGCUUUCUUGCUCUAAUGUCUCUCCUCUGACAUUGUCCAGAAGGGGGAAAUUUGUCCUGUAAAAUAGACUUCUAGAGCUCUUAUUGUCCCCUCUGCUCCCACGCACCCUCUCCUUCCAAGUCCUUUAGCAAGGUCUGGAUGAAAUUGAUCUGCUGACGAGAGGGACCAAAGUGGGUGUUCGGUCCCCAGGGAGCAAGGUUUAAUUGCUAUGUUGUGUGCAAUGUUGUUUUAGGCUAACCCUGGUCCCAAGGCCAGUCUUUUAUCCAUCCCUACCGUGUCCAGACUUCCCAAUU